GACGAACGCUGGCGGCGUGCUUAACACAUGCAAGUCGAACGGAAAGGCCCUGCUUGCAGGGUACUCGAGUGGCGAACGGGUGAGUAACACGUGGGUGAUCUGCCCUGCACUUCGGGAUAAGCCUGGGAAACUGGGUCUAAUACCGGAUAGGAGCCAUUUUUAGUGUGAUGGUUGGAAAGUUUUUUCGGUGUAGGAUGAGCUCGCGGCCUAUCAGCUUGUUGGUGGGGUAAUGGCCUACCAAGGCGGCGACGGGUAGCCGGCCUGAGAGGGUGGACGGCCACAUUGGGACUGAGAUACGGCCCAGACUCCGACGGGAGGCAGCAGUGGGGAAUAUUGCACAAUGGGCGCAAGCCUGAUGCAGCGACGCCGCGGGGGGGAGGACGGCCUUCGGGUUGUAAACUCCUUUCGCUAGGGACGAAGCUUUUUGUGACGGUACCUAGAUAAGAAGCACCGGCUAACUACGUG
This 465-nucleotide ribosomal RNA is filed under the name uncultured bacterium. RNAcentral describes it as "partial 16S ribosomal RNA". It matches the Rfam family "Bacterial small subunit ribosomal RNA", at positions 28 to 507 of the family's 1533-position model. The record is from RNAcentral.